RNAcentral lists this ribosomal RNA (465 nucleotides) under Vreelandella stevensii. RNAcentral's name for it is "partial 16S ribosomal RNA". It matches the Rfam family "Bacterial small subunit ribosomal RNA", at positions 338 to 795 of the family's 1533-position model. The record is from RNAcentral. Lineage: Bacteria; Pseudomonadati; Pseudomonadota; Gammaproteobacteria; Oceanospirillales; Halomonadaceae.
CCUACGGGGGGCAGCAGUGGGGAAUAUUGGACAAUGGGGGCAACCCUGAUCCAGCCAUGCCACGUGUGUGAAGAAGGCCCUCGGGUUGUAAAGCACUUUCAGUGAGGAAGAACGCCUGGUGGUUAAUACCCAUCAGGAAAGACAUCACUCACAGAAGAAGCACCGGCUAACUCCGUGCCAGCAGCCGCGGUAAUACGGAGGGUGCGAGCGUUAAUCGGAAUUACUGGGCGUAAAGCGCGCGUAGGUGGCUUGAUAAGCCGGUUGUGAAAGCCCCGGGCUCAACCUGGGAACGGCAUCCGGAACUGUCAAGCUAGAGUGCAGGAGAGGAAGGUAGAAUUCCCGGUGUAGCGGUGAAAUGCGUAGAGAUCGGGAGGAAUACCAGUGGCGAAGGCGGCCUUCUGGACUGACACUGACACUGAGGUGCGAAAGCGUGGGUAGCAAACAGGAUUAGAUACCCGAGUAGUC